This is a long non-coding RNA of Camponotus floridanus (Florida carpenter ant), 769 nucleotides long. RefSeq lists it as uncharacterized. The transcript has 2 exons. The record is from RefSeq and is a predicted model, not a curated record. NCBI's taxonomy places the organism in Eukaryota, Metazoa, Arthropoda, Insecta, Hymenoptera, Formicidae.
CCAUACAGCACAGAUCGUUGUUGCUAUAUUACAGCAAUAUUGCUACAAUAUAACAACAAUGGUCUGUGUUGUAGACAUAAAACAUUUAUAUCCGCCAGUUACACACGUAGUAAUAGCUAUCUUACAAGUAUUACGACUAUUGCAUUUGGGUCACGAUGUUAUGCACGAUGCAGAAUUACACAUCAUGGUUAUUAAUUGCCUUGUUUAUGACACAUUUGUAUUUGCUGUGGCGAUGCAUUCGGUGUCAUUUAGAUCAGUGUCUUUGCAGUAAAAGUAUAUAUACAGUGUAUAAAAAUUUAUUAAAAUAUUUCAACAUAGGUUUCUCCUAGAAUUUUCAUAAGUUACAUAAUAUACAUAUUUAAAUAAGUUUGCAGCUAAAUGCAAAGCUGUUGUCGUUUUGUUUGCUUUAAUAUUUUAUUAGAUUUAACGAAUAUUGCAACUAUGAAACAACAACGUUUGCGCUAAACCAUGAUGGAAUCGACAAGAUUAUUACGAGGGAAUUUGGAUCGUGUCCUCGGAUGUGAAGAAAAAAAACACGAUAGGACUCGGACGCAAAACAGGUGAACGAACAAGCCCAUGAGGCAAUACCUGUACCAUCGGAGGCGGUGGAGAUAAUCCCCCCAUUGGUGGCGGUGGUGGACCCAUCAUCAUCCCUGGCAUAGGUGGUGCUGGGGGUCCUUUCAUGCCAGGCAUAGGUGGAGGUGGAGGUCCUUUCGAGCCGGGCAUAGGUGGUGGAGGUGGACAAGUCAUUCCGGGCACUGGAGGUGGA